CUCCUCUUCUCUCUUCCUUCCAUCCGACAGUUUCUAUAUCCUUUCUUUUUUUUCUUUUUUUUUCAUCAAUCCCAGCCAUCCAACUCUUUCCUUUAUCCAUCACAGCCCUCCACGUGGCGCUUUCAGAUUAUGGUUAAAUGACCAUUCGUUAUAGCUCCAAAUUACGUUCUGCUUAUGCCCAUGCUUUCGUAGCGACAAAUACUACGAGUAUACGCCAAGAAAACGGAUCUUAUGUGACAUGACAAGGUGGUAAACAAAAAAAAAUACCUUUGCCUGUCACAACCUGUCCUGAAAUAAAUUUUUCGAUGGUGUGAUUUGUCUAAAAUACCCUUGGACGUUGAGAUGUGUUUGUGUGAUAUGUUUUUGGUUGUGGUCCAAUUCCUAGUUUUCCUAGACUUUUGGAAAUAUUUAGGAUUUAGGUUUUAUUUUCUUUUGUUUUUGGUUGGUUGCAAACUAGACCACACAUACUCACACACUUAUACCCAUCCUGUUGAUUCUCUCUCUCUCCUUCUCUCAGCUUCCAUCCAUUGUUCGUACAAGUUGUACGGUCACCCUUUGAACUUAGCUCUCAAACCACGGGUCGAUGUCAAGGAGGUUGCUUUUGUGUUCCUUGUGAGCUCAGGAACACAUCCAUACCUUUAGUUCGACGUGAGAACUCGUAAAACCCAAGAACCCAGAAUCACAGAUUUUGAGUACUGUUCAUGCACUCAUAAUCGUGAAGUUUUCAAGGAGUUUUAAGGUUAUAGGGAGCCUUAAAACAUCUUCACAAAGCUCGAGGAGUAAUUUUGAAGUGAAUUGGAUGUCGGGAAGCCCAGGUUUAGCGAGUUGCAGGUUUGGCCGGAAUAUCGAAGGUUUUUCAGGUGACUUUUUGUUGGUUUUAGGUUCCCAAAGUGGUAUGAAUAUGUUCUUCUCAUCUUAAGCUUCAUUUUGGUACAAAAUUCAUGAAUUUUGGUUGAGAAUCGAAGAAGAUAUGAAGGUUUGAUUUUUUUUCCAGUUUCGGCGAUCGUAACGGUGACCAGCACCGGACUUUGACGAACCAAGGAAGAAGGAGGAUAAUAUACCGUCAAAGUUGACAGAAUAUUCUGACUCCGUCAGGUAA
Molecule: long non-coding RNA, 1099 nt
Filed under: Malus domestica (apple)
Lineage: Eukaryota; Viridiplantae; Streptophyta; Magnoliopsida; Rosales; Rosaceae
Description: long non-coding RNA (MDOM_LNC013071)
Source: RNAcentral